UACAGAGGGUGCAAGCGUUAAUCGGAAUUACUGGGCGUAAAGGGUGCGUAGGUGGUUAGGUAAGUUAAGUGUGAAAGCCCCCGGGCUCAACCUGGGAGGUGCGCUUGAUACUCGAGGGCUUGAGUGCGGGAGAGGAGAGUGGAAUUCCCAGUGUAGAGGUGAAAUUCGUAGAUAUUGGGAAGAACACCGGUGGCGAAGGCGGCUCUCUGGACCGUAACUGACGCUGAGGCGCGAAAGCGUGGGAGCAACAGG
Molecule: ribosomal RNA, 252 nt
Filed under: uncultured bacterium
Lineage: Bacteria
Description: partial 16S ribosomal RNA
Rfam family: Bacterial small subunit ribosomal RNA
Source: RNAcentral